UACGAAGGGAGCAAGCGUUGUCCGGAUUUAUUGGGCGUAAAGAGCGUGUAGGCGGCCAGACAGGUCCGUUGUGAAAACUGGAGGCUUAACCUCCAGACGUCGAUGGAAACCGUCUGGCUAGAGUCCGGAAGAGGAGAGUGGAAUUCCUGGUGUAGCGGUGAAAUGCGCAGAUAUCAGGAAGAACACCCGUGGCUAAGGCGGCUCUCUGGGACGGUACUGACGCUGAGACGCGAAAGCGUGGGGAGCGAACAGG
This 253-nucleotide ribosomal RNA is filed under the name uncultured bacterium. RNAcentral's name for it is "partial 16S ribosomal RNA". It matches the Rfam family "Bacterial small subunit ribosomal RNA", at positions 524 to 776 of the family's 1533-position model. The record is from RNAcentral.